GAACGCUGGCGGCGUGCCUAAUACAUGCAAGUCGAGCGAACAGACAAGGAGCUUGCUCCUUUGACGUUAGCGGCGGACGGGUGAGUAACACGUGGGUAACCUACCUAUAAGACUGGGAUAACUUCGGGAAACCGGAGCUAAUACCGGAUAAUAUUUCGAACCGCAUGGUUCGAUAGUGAAAGAUGGUUUUGCUAUCACUUAUAGAUGGACCCGCGCCGUAUUAGCUAGUUGGUAAGGUAACGGCUUACCAAGGCGACGAUACGUAGCCGACCUGAGAGGGUGAUCGGCCACACUGGAACUGAGACACGGUCCAGACUCCUACGGGAGGCAGCAGUAGGGAAUCUUCCGCAAUGGGCGAAAGCCUGACGGAGCAACGCCGCGUGAGUGAUGAAGGUCUUCGGAUCGUAAAACUCUGUUAUUAGGGAAGAACAUACGUGUAAGUAACUAUGCACGUCUUGACGGUACCUAAUCAGAAAGCCACGGCUAACUACGUGCCAGCAGCCGCGGUAAUACGUAGGUGGCAAGCGUUAUCCGGAAUUAUUGGGCGUAAAGCGCGCGUAGGCGGUUUUUUAAGUCUGAUGUGAAAGCCCACGGCUCAACCGUGGAGGGUCAUUGGAAACUGGAAAACUUGAGUGCAGAAGAGGAAAGUGGAAUUCCAUGUGUAGCGGUGAAAUGCGCAGAGAUAUGGAGGAACACCAGUGGCGAAGGCGACUUUCUGGUCUGUAACUGACGCUGAUGUGCGAAAGCGUGGGGAUCAAACAGGAUUAGAUACCCUGGUAGUCCACGCCGUAAACGAUGAGUGCUAAGUGUUAGGGGGUUUCCGCCCCUUAGUGCUGCAGCUAACGCAUUAAGCACUCCGCCUGGGGAGUACGACCGCAAGGUUGAAACUCAAAGGAAUUGACGGGGACCCGCACAAGCGGUGGAGCAUGUGGUUUAAUUCGAAGCAACGCGAAGAACCUUACCAAAUCUUGACAUCCUUUGACAACUCUAGAGAUAGAGCCUUCCCCUUCGGGGGACAAAGUGACAGGUGGUGCAUGGUUGUCGUCAGCUCGUGUCGUGAGAUGUUGGGUUAAGUCCCGCAACGAGCGCAACCCUUAAGCUUAGUUGCCAUCAUUAAGUUGGGCACUCUAAGUUGACUGCCGGUGACAAACCGGAGGAAGGUGGGGAUGACGUCAAAUCAUCAUGCCCCUUAUGAUUUGGGCUACACACGUGCUACAAUGGACAAUACAAAGGGCAGCGAAACCGCGAGGUCAAGCAAAUCCCAUAAAGUUGUUCUCAGUUCGGAUUGUAGUCUGCAACUCGACUACAUGAAGCUGGAAUCGCUAGUAAUCGUAGAUCAGCAUGCUACGGUGAAUACGUUCCCGGGUCUUGUACACACCGCCCGUCACACCACGAGAGUUUGUAACACCCGAAGCCGGUGGAGUAACCAUUUGGAGCUAGC
This 1441-nucleotide ribosomal RNA is filed under the name Staphylococcus haemolyticus. RNAcentral describes it as "bacterial SSU rRNA". It matches the Rfam family "Bacterial small subunit ribosomal RNA". The record is from RNAcentral. Lineage: Bacteria; Bacillati; Bacillota; Bacilli; Caryophanales; Staphylococcaceae.